This 521-nucleotide long non-coding RNA is filed under the name Anser brachyrhynchus (Pink-footed goose). Its description in RNAcentral is "lncRNA (ENSABRG00000013077.1)". Lineage: Eukaryota; Metazoa; Chordata; Aves; Anseriformes; Anatidae. The record is from RNAcentral.
AAUCUGUUAAUGAAACCCCUUGUGAUGGGUUACAGCAGCAGCUGUUGCAACACCCCUCCCCCUUGUCCUACACAGGGAGGUUUCUGGUUUGAGGUUGCCCUGUGGUGGCCUCAAACUUUCUGGGAGAAUUCUAGAUUAGCUCUCAGCUUGUUGUGUGUGGUUUUGGAUGUAUAUUAUAAGCGGCUGUUGGCAUCUAUGAUGAACAGGCUACACAACAAAUUCAAGACCAGAAGACAAAAAGGCAGUGGAUGUAGUCAUUCUCUGGAAAAAUUAAGACACCGAUGUCUUUGAGCUAAAAAUCAAAAGUUAUCAGUCAGAGUAGAAGAAGCUUAAGGUUAAAUUGAUUCUGGAUAAUACCUGAGGAACACUAAAGCCCUGGCUUUCCUUCAGGAGGGAAAAAAAACAUUUGCCUUCAGAAUUCAGUAAAGCAGAAGCCUGACACCCCUGUAACACAGAAUCUGGUAAACUCUCAUUAUAGAUACAUAGGCCAUUUACCCAAGAUAGCAGAAAGUUAAUACCGG